This 253-nucleotide ribosomal RNA is filed under the name uncultured bacterium. RNAcentral describes it as "partial 16S ribosomal RNA". It matches the Rfam family "Bacterial small subunit ribosomal RNA", at positions 524 to 776 of the family's 1533-position model. The record is from RNAcentral.
UACGUAGGGUGCAAGCGUUAAUCGGAAUUACUGGGCGUAAGGCGUGCGCAGGCGGCUUUGCAAGACAGAUGUGAAAUCCCCGGGCUUAACCUGGGAACUGCAUUUGUGACUGCAUCGCUGGAGUGCGGCAGAGGGGGAUGGAAUUCCGCGUGUAGCAGUGAAAUGCGUAGAUAUCCGGAGGAACACCGGUGGCGAAGGCGGCUUCCUGGACCGACACUGACGCUGAGGCGCGAAAGCUAGGGGAGCAAACGGG